AAAGCAACAAAGGGAGCUCAAGUGGAGACUUCCUCAGCAAAAGCAUUGCACUGCUUAAAUGAUUCAGCUUUUGAGUGAAAUGAAAGGCGGGACUAAGACCAGGAAGAACCACGACCUACCCUACUCCGGAGUACGGACCCCAGGAGGACUAACAGCCUCUGGGCUCUCGAACAGCACAGAGUGUAAGGGGUUCGGGAGGAGGGAUGAAGGCCAUCCUCACCAGACGACUGUCAACAUCCCAGAAAAUGUCCACAUCACUCUAAAAGGAUGCGCUGUUAUUGGGAAGGGCCCCAGAGGGAUCCCGUGAAGGGUCUUGAAUCAUGUCAGUGUAGAACUCAGUCUCUUUGGAAAGGAAAGAAGAGGCUCCAAGGUGACAAUUGGUGGGGGGUAAGGAAAGACCUGGCCGCCGUUCACGCUCUCGUAGUCACCUGCAGACCAUGAUCCAGGGGGUUACACUGGGCUUCUGUUAUAAGAGGAGGUCAGCCUAUGCUCACUUCCCCAGCAGUGCUGUUACCCAGGAGAAUGGUUCUCAUGGUGAAAUCCAAAAUUUUAUGGGGGGAAAAAUACAUCUGCAGGCUGUGGAUGAGGCCAGGUGUUGCUUGUUCAGUAUCUUGAGCUCAGAAUGAUAAUGAGUUAAUUCUUCAAGGAAAUGAUACUGAACUUGUAUCAAACUUAGCUGCUUUGGUUCAGCAAGCCCCAACAGUUAAAAAUAAGGGUAUCAGAAAAUUUUUGGAUGGUAUCUAUGUUUCUGAAAAAAGGAACAGUUCAGCAGGCUGAAAUAAGAUCUAAGUUGUUCAGCUACAGAAACAGCAAGAUGCUGGAUGAUUCUUCAGACUUAUUUGUGAAUAUUUUUAAGAUGCAAUAAAAGCUCUAUCGAUUUGGGGCCUUUUUCUUUU
This 896-nucleotide long non-coding RNA is filed under the name Vulpes vulpes (red fox). RNAcentral's name for it is "lncRNA (ENSVVUG00000030329.1)". Lineage: Eukaryota; Metazoa; Chordata; Mammalia; Carnivora; Canidae. The record is from RNAcentral.